This 253-nucleotide ribosomal RNA is filed under the name uncultured bacterium. Its description in RNAcentral is "partial 16S ribosomal RNA". It matches the Rfam family "Bacterial small subunit ribosomal RNA", at positions 524 to 776 of the family's 1533-position model. The record is from RNAcentral.
UACGUAGGUGGCGAGCGUUGUCCGGAUUUACUGGGCGUAAAGAGCGCGCAGGCGGCUGGUCAAGUCCGAUGUGAAAGCUCCCGGCUUAACUGGGAAAUUGCAUCGGAAACUGAUCGGCUGGAAGGUGGGAGAGGGUAGCGGAAUUCCCGGUGUAGUGGUGAAAUGCGCAGAUAUCAGGAGGAACACCGGUGGCGAAGGCGCCACUCUGGGCCGGUACUGACGCUGAGGAGCGAAAGCGUGGGGAGCGAACAGG